Molecule: long non-coding RNA, 279 nt
Organism: Homarus americanus (American lobster)
Lineage: Eukaryota; Metazoa; Arthropoda; Malacostraca; Decapoda; Nephropidae
Exons: 3
Source: RefSeq, a predicted model, not a curated record
CGGCGAGGGACAAGAGAUACGACAGGUGGGGUUCUGGUCCUGAACCUGUAGUCGUGCUGGUUUAAUUCUUUUAAACAAAGCAGGUCGGGUCAGAAGUGCUCCUUGACCUCUACUCACAGUGGCCGGGUCUUGAGGACGAGCUUGGAGAAGGACCUCGACCAUAACAACCUCAAGGAUGAUGCUUUAGACCCAACGUGUGAGAACCACAGCGGAGGAGAGAGUCGCCAGAAGGUGACGGCUGCCCCGCAUCACUACCUCCACCCCGUGCAACAAACUGUG